UGGGGAAUUUUGCACAAUGGAGGGAACUCUGAUGCAGCGACGCCGCGUGAGUGAUGAAGGAAUUCGUUUCGUAAAACUUUGUUCUAUGGGAAGAAAAGGACUGUACCAUAGGAGAAAGCUCCGGCUAAAUACGUGCCAGCAGCCGCGGUAAUACGUAUGGAGCGAGCGUUGUCCGGAAUUAUUGGGCGUAAAGGGUGCGCAGGCGGCUUUACAAGUUGGAUGUGAAAUAUUGUGGAUCAACCACAAACGUGCAUCCAAAACUGCAAAGCUUGAGUUGAGGAGAGGUAAGUGGAAUUCCUGGUGUGGCGGUGGAAUGCGUAGAUAUCAGAAGGAUUACCGGUGGCGAAGGCGACUUACUGGACUUAAACUGACGCGAAGGCACGAAAGCGUGGGGAGCAAAAAGG
RNAcentral lists this ribosomal RNA (404 nucleotides) under Fusobacteriota bacterium. RNAcentral describes it as "Fusobacteria bacterium partial 16S ribosomal RNA". It matches the Rfam family "Bacterial small subunit ribosomal RNA", at positions 355 to 776 of the family's 1533-position model. The record is from RNAcentral. Lineage: Bacteria; Fusobacteriati; Fusobacteriota.